GAGGCAUUCCUUUCCCUGGCUGAUGCAGGAAGCUUUUUAUAGUCUUCAACAACAACCAGUCCCUACAUUUAAGAAGGUUAAUAACUGAGACAGCCUUCCUGGUGGAUCCAUCAUUUGGCCCAGCUUGUAGAAAGAUUCCCAACUAGCUCUAAUUAGUUCCAUCUUAUUUGGAGGCAGAGGUAUUCCUCAUCAUACCCAUAUCCUCAUAUAAAUUGUCCAGUGCCCUAGGUACCAGGGAGAAAGAAGACGAAGAAGGACAUAUACCAGAAGCACAUUAAUAGGCUGCUGAAAAACUCUGCCACACUUUCAGAUGACAGGUCACCUACAGAUAAAUGAUUCAAGGAUCAACCAAGUUCUGAAGUUUUUUUUUGUUUUUUUUUUUUGGGAUAGAGUCUCACUGUGUCACCCAGGCUGGAGUGCAGUGGCGUGAUCUCAGCUCACUGCAACCUCUGCCUCCCGAGUUCAAGUGAUUCUCCUGCCUCAGCCUCCCAAGUAGCUGGGAUUAUAGGUGCCUGCCACCAGGCCUGGCUAAUUAUUUUUUGUAUUUUUAGUAGAAACAUAGUUUCACUAUGUUGGCCAGGCUGGUCUUGAACUCCUGACCUUGUGAUCCACCCGCCUCAGCCUCCCAAAGUGCUGGGAUACAGGUGUGAGCCACCAUGCCCGGCCAGUUCUUAAUACUGCCAGGAGUGCUUUAGAAGGCUGGGAAUAUGGGGCGAAAGAUUAGACACCCAAGCUGUUGAAAACCACACAGAGUUUCAGUAAAUAUAUGCACAAUUUGAAAAAUAUAUUUGCAAAAAUCUAGGUGUCUCCGGUCUAGUCCUUCCUAUUAAUCAAAUAAAUUACCGAGCUUCAUGGCCCAGUCUAUGAUCCUAGUUCUGACCGCUGCUGCCCGUAAAGGCCUCAAUGAAUUCCUCUCUGAGCUUCCAGACUUCCUUGGCUGGUGACUUGUUCCUCUUGGGACAGCUUUUGCUUGAGCUGAGCAGCCUGGCCCCCAGCUGUGCAGGGCCCUCUCUCCGGUGAGAGGAAACGCUUUCAGCUUAGUCUGUUAACACAAACAUUCAAAAGCAAACAUUCAAAAGCCACAGAUCAUGUUCGCAUAAAUAAAAUAGGAUUGAGAAAAGCUUUGCCCCAAGAAACCAAAGGGGUGUUUAAAAAACAGCUCUUGCUUUCCAAGUAGGCAGGCAGCAAAGCCACAGCAAUUCCAAAGGUUUGUGUGCUUGGUAGAGCUGGGUGGCUGCAGCCGCAGGCCUUUGAAGAGGAAAUGCCAUCCCUGGUACAGGCAGGCGGCCAACCCAUGAGUCCUGAAAGUACCAGAGAGAAGCAGAAAGCAGGGGAGCACAGUUAGGAAGUGAAAAGGGAGAGGAAGGCACCAAGGAGAUAAAUGAGGAGACUCUUCUUAUCUAGAGUUCCCACCCCAGACCUAAGAGCUACAGGACAGAGGAACUCACUGUGCCUGACAGAGCUGGGGCCUGUCUACAGAUCCUGUGGUUCUGCAGAUUUCAAUUAUAGAAGACAGGACUUUGGAAAACAUGAAAAGACCACUUAAAAGAGAUGCAGAAAAAGCAUGUGACAGGCUGGAGCCAAGAUGGCCGAAU
RNAcentral lists this long non-coding RNA (1595 nucleotides) under Homo sapiens (human). RNAcentral's name for it is "HSALNT0009866". The record is from RNAcentral. Lineage: Eukaryota; Metazoa; Chordata; Mammalia; Primates; Hominidae.